GACGAACGCUGGCGGCACGCCUAACACAUGCAAGUCGAACGGACUUACAAGAGCUUGCUUUUUUAAGUUAGUGGCGGACGGGUGAGUAACACGUGAGCAACCUGCCUCUGAGAGGGGGAUAGCUUCUGGAAACGGAUGGUAAUACCCCAUAAAAUAUAAAUAUCGCAUGAUAGAUAUAUCAAAGAAAUUCGCUCAGAGAUGGGCUCGCGUCUGAUUAGAUAGUUGGUGAGGUAACGGCUCACCAAGUCGACGAUCAGUAGCCGGACUGAGAGGUUGAACGGCCACAUUGGGACUGAGGCACGGCCCAGACUCCUACGGGAGGCAGCAGUGGGGAAUAUUGCACAAUGGAGGGAACUCUGAUGCAGCGAUGCCGCGUGGAGGAAGAAGGUUUUCGGAUUGUAAACUCCUUUUAUCAGGGACGAUAAUGACGGUACCUGAAGAAAAAGCUCCGGCUAACUACGUG
RNAcentral lists this ribosomal RNA (463 nucleotides) under uncultured bacterium. RNAcentral describes it as "partial 16S ribosomal RNA". It matches the Rfam family "Bacterial small subunit ribosomal RNA", at positions 28 to 507 of the family's 1533-position model. The record is from RNAcentral.